CUGGGAGUAGCCAAGAGAUGAAAACGUGGAGGUAAAUUUUUUUGGAAUGCAUGGACCAUCCAGUUAUCUAAUUGCUCUCGGUCUCCAGGAUUAAACCCAAAGGUCUAAUAAACAAUGAGAAUGAACAGCCCACGCGAACGUUACACGCGGAAUGAAUGGCUUGAAGCACGAGGACCGAAGGGUCGAGGAAGGGCGGGAGCAAUGAGGCUCUUUGAAUGGAUGCGUGCGCAGUUGUGAAGCUGCGCAAUAGAUCACUGAGUCGAUUCUUUGGUGGAUUUUUGGGAUAAUGAAGCUUCAAUCAUACUCAAGAUGUUGUGGAGUAUUAUUACAGAAUGGAGAAGAGCAAAGAAGGUGAAGAAAACUUUCUUAAAUAUAGUAGAGAUAAAAGGGUGUUGAAACUCACCAGUUGAGCAGUACUCUAGAGAUCGAAGUUUGGAAUAAUCUCCUUCAUUAUUUCCACUUGGCCAAGUUUUGGAGUUUUAAAAACAAGUGUUGGCAUCGUGUUAUUGAUUGCUAACACAUUCAGCUAACAUUGAAACAGUCAACUUUUGAAAACAGGUCUAGAUGAGUGUCUCGCGUGGUUGCACCAGAAGAGAAUACAGGGGCACUCACGUUCACUCGGCACAGCACAUGAAGAACUGACAGACGGAAGAGGAAGGGAAGCUAAAGGGAGCCAAGAGCGCGAAC
Chelonus insularis is the source of this 687-nucleotide long non-coding RNA. RefSeq lists it as uncharacterized. The transcript is spliced from 4 exons. Lineage: Eukaryota; Metazoa; Arthropoda; Insecta; Hymenoptera; Braconidae. The record is from RefSeq and is a predicted model, not a curated record.